AGUUCAAAUUUACAGGUCUGAGUUUCUCUCAAACUCAUUGCUUUUGUUGGGGGCGUGGAGGUCAUACUUCAUAUGUGAGCAAAGAGGAAGGAGUUGAUUUUAUGUGGAGCAAAGGUGAGGUCUCAGCAGAGGUGUUUGAAUCAGGAAAAAACGUUUGGCCCAUCAGAAUUGGGUGCUUGAGUCCCGAGGAUCAGAUACCCAAGUGGUCAAUGAUGUCAAUGCAAUAUACAAGUAGUGAGAAUUAUUACUUCAUAUGCAUGGAAAUCUUCAACAACAGAGUGAAGAGAACUAAGCAAGCGUGCUACAUUCGGAAGGCAAUCCUUGUGAAGAGGAGUUGCUAGGAGAACAUUAUUGGGGGUAGUGAUCCAUUGGAUUCUAUUUUCAAUGAAUGGUUUCAAGUGAUGGAGGAUUGCAAACGAUGUGCGCAGAAGGAUCUGUCUCUGUUGAAUGAACAAAUGUUAGGUAUGGGUUGGGCUGCUAAAAACAUUUUGUUAAGUACACAGGAGCAGGCUCGAUACAGUUUUGUAGAUGACUGAAGCUUUGGGAAUGUUUUCUUGAAGAUUGGCAGCUUUCUCUUCAUACGGAGAGUUUUGGGGAUCAAUCUUAA
Long non-coding RNA from Juglans regia (Persian walnut), 607 nucleotides. RefSeq lists it as uncharacterized. The record is from RefSeq and is a predicted model, not a curated record. The transcript is spliced from 3 exons. NCBI's taxonomy places the organism in Eukaryota, Viridiplantae, Streptophyta, Magnoliopsida, Fagales, Juglandaceae.